This is a long non-coding RNA of Poecilia reticulata (guppy), 713 nucleotides long. RefSeq lists it as uncharacterized. The record is from RefSeq and is a predicted model, not a curated record. NCBI's taxonomy places the organism in Eukaryota, Metazoa, Chordata, Actinopteri, Cyprinodontiformes, Poeciliidae.
UGCAGAUAAUAACCAAUUUCACCGUCUUACAAACGCGUCCAUUCAUCCAGCCACCGGGGGCGCUGUUACAAAAGUACUGGCUCUGCCUGGCUUGAGCGGACCUGUCUGGAUUUUACAUCUCUAAACUUGAUGAGAAGUUGAUAUAUAGCGUUACAAAUUCAGCGAUGAAUCUUCACCUUCAAGCAUCUGGAAAUGUUUCUUUGGAUGAAUCAGACUGGAGCAGCUGCGGGAAUAUUCUGAGGUUUCCCAUCAAACCAGAAAGCAGCGACUCUCAGGUGUGACCUUAAAAUACAUCCACAGGGAGAAAAGUCUGUGCGUCUUUCAGUUUUGUGUCUGUAAACUUCCUGCCUCGUCCGUAGAUGGAUACGCCGAUACCACUGAAGCUCACCGCUGUAGACAAAGACACAUUUCAGACACAUGAUGUCAUUGCUUAUGUCUCAUAAUAGCUUUAUGCUAACUGACUGCCCCACGGAGAGGCGGACCUGAUCAGGGACGUGAAGCGCAACAACACAAGCAGCUGCAGUAAAAGUCCACUCAACAAAGGCGCACAGCAACGUUUACUAAAUAUUGCCAACAAUUUCUGUACAAACUGCUGGUUUUAUUUUAAUAAUCAGCGUUUUAAGCCCAACUAUAGUUUAUUUUAAUUUUCUUGCUAACUGCAACUCCAGAACGACUCACUUUCUUAUUUCAAAAUAAAAGUCCUAAAGAUGCGG